UGUUUGAAUAUAGUACUACUAUAAUUGUUUUUUUUUUUUGAGAGAGAUAGAUAGCAUGCUACUCGCUUCGUUUAUUUUAUUUAGAAAUAAACUUAGCUAGAAAUGUGAAUCAACUAGGAUUCGAACUUGGGUCUCGGAUACCAACCACCAAACCCUUUGCAACUUGCUCUAGGGACGGUGGGUACUACUAUAAUUGUUAUUCUUUGUAAAAUUAAUUAUGU
This 221-nucleotide long non-coding RNA is filed under the name Ananas comosus (pineapple). RNAcentral describes it as "long non-coding RNA (ACOM_LNC025092)". The record is from RNAcentral. Lineage: Eukaryota; Viridiplantae; Streptophyta; Magnoliopsida; Poales; Bromeliaceae.